UGUCAAUGUCACAAAUGUGAACAUUAGCAACAUUGCUAAUUCCCAGCUGAAUGUUUUCCUUGACAACCUGCAGGGUUCAACCAAUGGAACUGUUCUAGGAGAACCAAGAAGUGUAUUUGGGUCCUCUGUUCCAGUGAAUCUAGCUAAUGUCAACUACUAAUGUUGUAAGCCCCAUAGCUAAUUCAAAAGACAGCAUCUCACUUAACAUCUUACUGAGUCAUGCUGCAAUUUGCCUACUCAGUAUCUUCUGGCAUCUGAUCUGAGGGGCCCGAGAGAGAUCUGAAGACUAAUUGUGCUGUGGGUGGAGUAGUAUAGAUAUGCACUAGCAUCAGCAUGUUUUGCUAAAGUAUUCAUACCUCCACUGGUGUCUUUCUUUAUUUGAUUCUUAGAUUAUUUGCAAACAUAUAGGAAACCCAUGUAUGUUUGACAUAUACAGGGUGUUGGACACAUAUAUAAAGCCCAUAUAUUAACAUAUACAUAUAUACAGCCCAAGCACAUGUAUAAUCCUUCUUUUUGUGUGUGUGUGUGUGUGUGAUCUUUUAAUGAUCCUCUGACAAUAUACUGACAGUGGAAAUGAUCCUGAAAACUUUUUUUUUGAAGUUACAUUAAAAGCUUAUUAACAAACAUAAUAACAUUAAAAUACAGAGUUAUUUUUUUUUCUGGGGUCAUAUCUAUUAUAUCCACACUUAAUAAUAUCUUCACAGCUAAAUUUGCAUAAGCACCAUUUUAAGAAUCUCUUGUCUAUCACAAAACAAUAUAUAAUGCAGAGCUAAUUGAGAGUGGCGUGUUUGAUACUAAUGAUAUUAACAAGUAAUAAUAAAUAAAUUAUAAACAAGUAUUCUGGAAGAUCUCUUAGACUGAACAUUUAAAACAAUAAAAUAAAUGUAA
This is a long non-coding RNA of Carassius auratus (goldfish), 888 nucleotides long. RefSeq lists it as uncharacterized. The transcript is spliced from 3 exons. The record is from RefSeq and is a predicted model, not a curated record. NCBI's taxonomy places the organism in Eukaryota, Metazoa, Chordata, Actinopteri, Cypriniformes, Cyprinidae.